CUAGAAGAAGAAGAAAAAAA
This 20-nucleotide small RNA is filed under the name Arabidopsis thaliana (thale cress). RNAcentral's name for it is "ATSL075270". Lineage: Eukaryota; Viridiplantae; Streptophyta; Magnoliopsida; Brassicales; Brassicaceae. The record is from RNAcentral.